GUUUGAUCUGAUUCUAACUUCAAUGAUAACCGUGAGAAAAAGUUCUAUCAGGAUAGAGCUGCAGAGCUUAAAGAAGAAUAUGCCAAGGCCUUGAAGUCACACAAGAAGAAUAUGAACAAGUAUGUAUGUUAUUCUUAGGAAUCGUUUGGUAAGGCUUUUGAAAAGUUAAAAGCUAUCAUUUGACCCAACUAUCGAGUAGGGAUGAAAGUCUACCUCGGUUAGUCGACGGUGUAGAUUAGAUGGAUAGUUGCUCAACAGAUAAAAGUUACUUCAAAGAUAAUAGACUAAUAUUCUAUAAGAGUUUACAUUGGCUGAAAGAUUUGGCACGUUGAUGUAGCUUCUCCGCCACUUGGAAUUCAUCUAUUAAAGUGUAAAGGUAAAAUUAGAGAAUGAAAAUCAUUUUCUAAUUUUUCUUAAAAAU
Molecule: long non-coding RNA, 421 nt
Filed under: Olea europaea subsp. europaea
Lineage: Eukaryota; Viridiplantae; Streptophyta; Magnoliopsida; Lamiales; Oleaceae
Source: RNAcentral